CCUACGGGGGGCUGCAGUGAGGAAUAUUGGUCAAUGGACGAGAGUCUGAACCAGCCAAGUAGCGUAAAGGAUGACUGCCCUAUGGGUUGUAAACUUCUUUUAUAUGGGAAUAAAAUGUUCCACGUGUGGGAUUUUGUAUGUACCAUAUGAAUAAGGAUCGGCUAACUCCGUGCCAGCAGCCGCGGUAAUACGGAGGAUCCGAGCGUUAUCCGGAUUUAUUGGGUUUAAAGGGAGCGUAGGUGGAUUGUUAAGUCAGUUGUGAAAGUUUGCGGCUCAACCGUAAAAUUGCAGUUGAAACUGGCAGUCUUGAGUACAGUAGAGGUGGGCGGAAUUCGUGGUGUAGCGGUGAAAUGCUUAGAUAGCACGAAGAACUCCGAUUGCGAAGGCAGUUCACUGGACUGCAACUGACACUGAGGCUCGAAAGUGUGGGUAUCAAACAGGAUUAGAUACCCGUGUAGUC
Molecule: ribosomal RNA, 460 nt
Filed under: uncultured bacterium
Lineage: Bacteria
Description: partial 16S ribosomal RNA
Rfam family: Bacterial small subunit ribosomal RNA
Source: RNAcentral